Long non-coding RNA from Centropristis striata (black sea bass), 3062 nucleotides. RefSeq lists it as uncharacterized. Lineage: Eukaryota; Metazoa; Chordata; Actinopteri; Perciformes; Serranidae. The transcript has 2 exons. The record is from RefSeq and is a predicted model, not a curated record.
CACACACUCACGAUUUGAUAUGAUUUCUGAUACAGGGUUAACGAUACAGUUUCUUAUGAUAUUAUCCAACUUUUUUUUGUAACGGUAUAAACUUGCAGACAAAUUGUGACUGAAAAAGAUUUCUUAAUUAUUUCUCAGACAACAAAACAUUCCUCGUCUGUGUGUGUCAUUCAAAUCUUUGGAUACAAUACCUUAAUGUUAAUGUUGUUGUCAGUCAGCAAGAUUUUUAAGAGAUGUGGCUCAUCCACUUCCAGACUUUGAGGAUUUUUAAAAUGCCUUUUGCUAAGUUUGGGUAUAUUUUAAAAAUGUUCAUGACAUUACACUUUGUUGUGUAAAUCUCUAACUAAAUGGAAGGAGUCUCUCUCUGUCCUGUAAAAACUGCAAGGCUCAGUUCUGGAGACAAAGGGCCAGUGUGAUCUCUGAUACUUGUCUCAGACUGAGCCUUUUAAAGUGGCUGUGUCAAUGUUUAUCUGUGAGAAUAAUGUCUAUAGAUAAUCUGAACACUAACUCACUUAUUUGUAAACUGUUUUAGAACAAUAUAGUUAUCUGAUGUCCUGCCUUAACCUGACUUUCUUUCUUUCUUUAUGAUUAAAAUAUGUUUCGUCUUUUAGGGACACUCGUCAUAGUGGAAGAAGGCAAGGAUGUCAUUUUACCGUGUUCUGUCAACGGGGACUUCAACGUCAACAACUUUCAAUGGAUGAAAGAUGCUCAAGUAGGUAAACCUCAGAAGAAUGUGUUCUUCUACGAUAAAGGCAGCCAUUACAACAAUGGACGUGAAGGUCAGAGUGAGGAGUUCAAAGGUCGAGUCUUUCAUUUUGAAGAUGAACUGCAACAUGGAAAAGCCUCCAUAACCAUCACAAACACAAAGUGGACUGACAGAGGAAUCUACACCUGUGAUUUUCCUGAUCUGGAGCCACCUCAGAGAUUCCAGAGAGAGCUUUUUGUUGGUGAGUACUUUGAUUCAUGAAACAGUUAAUUCUUCAUUAAUUGUUUGUUCUCGUUUUGACCCCUGAAUGUUUUUUAUCCUCUCGUCGUCUGUUUGAACCACUUGAAAUCAAUAACACCUUGAUUAAAACGUGUUCAGAGAUAAGAGCUGCUGUGUAUUUUUCAAUAUAUUUCUAUGUAGAGAUGUAACCACACACUCACGAUUUGAUAUGAUUUCUGAUACAGGGUUAACGAUACAGUUUCUUAUGAUUUUAUCCAACUUUUUUUUGUAACAGUACAAACUUGCAGACAAAUUGUGACUGAAAAAGAUUCUUUAAUUAUUUCUCAGACAAAGAAACAUUCCUCGUCUGUGCAAAUUUGUGCGGCUGCUCGUGUUUCCCUUCUCCUUUUUACAUGUUGAAGCUCCUUUACUAGACUGUGAAUGGUUGACCACUCAGUGAUAUCGCCCACAAAUGAAUGCUUUUAUUUCUCUUUCAGCACCAAGGAAGACGGACGGACAGGUAGAAGACAAAGGUGAUGAUGGAACCACAGAGCUUUCACCUUUGUCAGUGUGACCUUCCUGAGCAGUGAAGCGAACAGGAAGUGCCUUCAGAAGUCCAGCAGGGGGCGCCACCGUCCGGCCCUAUCUAUCUAGCCCUACCUAUCUAUCAAAACUAAAUGAGACGACUUCUAUGGAAGCCAAUUUUCACAAGUUAUAAAAAUAAAUAGUAAAACUUGGCACUUUUUUCUUUCCUUUUUUGCCCAUAUUAAGUGGAAAUUAUGAGAUAAGUAAAAAAAAAUGAGAUUAAAAAAGUCAAAAUUAUAAGAUAAAAAAGGCAAAAUUCUGAGAUGAAAAGGCACAUUUUUUAGAUAAAAAAAGUCAAAAUUAUGAGGUAAAAAUUAUGAGAUAAAAAAGUCGAAAAUAUGAUUAAAAAAGUAAAAAUUAUGAGAUAAAAAAGUCAAAACUGAGAUAAAAGUCAAAGCUGAGCAAAAAAGUCAAUAUUAUGAGGUGAAAGUCAAAACUAUGAGAUAAAAAAGUCAAAAUUAUGAGAUAAAGUCAAAAUUGUGAGAUAAAAACUGACUUGUGACUUUUUAUGUCAUAAUUAUGACUUUUUUCGAUUUAAUAUGGGCAACAACAAAAUAAGCCAAAUUUUUUUUAUUUAUUCCUAGCAGAAACGAGCUUCCAUAAACUUCAUUUAUUACCAACAUUCUGGUGUCAAUCUCUAGUUUCAAGUCUUCUCCAAGACAACAUGGUGUGAAUGUGUAAAUAAUGGUCCCAUGUAGAAGAAAAUAGAUGAUAAAGAAGCUUAUGACUCAGACAUGAGGAACUGAACCUAAAUGACUGUAAAUAUUUUGUUGCUGGAGUGUGAAGAUGUUCUUAAAGCUGAGGCCGCUUCAAUCAGAAACAUCUUGUUUUGAUUAUUUCGACUGAUAUUGAAGUGAUUCACAGUAUUAGUGGGAUUCAUCAUGAAUGAAUUAUCUUUAUUUUUCGGCUAUAUAAUUUACAUCUAGAAAAUCAAAUUUCACACAAUUUUUCUCCAUAAAUAAAUCAUUGUUGAGUCAUUAUUCUCAUUGUUAUUCAAAAAUACAAUACCAUGAGUUAUUUUUGUUUUGCAAUAAACAAAUAAGCUUUUCUUAAAUGUGCUGAAUAUUAUUAUUAAUAAUAUGUAUGUUAUUAUUAUAUUUUGUAGGCUGGGACGUCUCAACAUUACCUGAGAUUACUUAUGAUAUUUGACUAAUUUUGCCUGUCAGAAACAUUGCACUAUAUAUUAAUCUGUAAUGCUAUUUGGAUAAAAUGUCCAUUAUUGUGCAGCGCUAUUUAAAAUGUUACUAAAAUGAAAUCAUGUUUUAUUUUUUGGGGAGUUAAUUUGUAUUACUGCCUUCCCAUUUAAAAUGUAAGUAAAAUAAAAUGUUUAUAUUUCUAGUUCAUUUAUAUUACUGCCUUCCCAUUCUGAGGAUUCUGUUUCUAUUUUUUUUAAUAAAUAAUCUGUUUGUUUCUGCUAUAUAAUCUGAUGAUUGUGGCCUUUUGCAUGUGUUUAUUAUUUGUGCUCAUAUAUCAUGUUGACAAUAAAGGCUUUAAAAUGUCAUGUUUGUUUCUUCAUAUUCAACAUUUACAAUAAAACAAACAUUUUCUUUAA